Molecule: long non-coding RNA, 668 nt
Filed under: Mytilus galloprovincialis (Mediterranean mussel)
Lineage: Eukaryota; Metazoa; Mollusca; Bivalvia; Mytilida; Mytilidae
Source: RNAcentral
AUCUAUUUAUAAAUUAACAUCGCAAAAUUACUAAAUAAAUCUAGAAUCAGAAGAACACACUGCGGUGAACGAUUGAAAAGUUUUACCAAAUAAAAUUCUACAUUUUUAUCUUAAAAAUUAACCAGUCUACUUAGAAAGGGGGACAAUAUUUAAUCAAACUUUUAGUAACUGACAAAAUCUCGGCUAUAUAUAUAGAGAGAGGAGAGAGAAGCAGACCUUAUUCAAGUCACUGGCCAAGAGACAAGCUUCACUUCGAAACGGCCGCUUUUAUACCACCGUUGACCAAUCAAAUUAAUUAUUCAAAUUUAUUUUCCUUAACCCAUAAUUAGCCAAUGAAAAUCGCGGUAUCAGACAUCAUUCGGAAUCAGUGCCAAAAUGGAUGACAUAAUAACAUUUGAAGAUUUCCAAAAUGAAAUAUCGGAACUAUCUACUUAAAAACACAAUUUACACCCAAAAAUAUGUAAGACAAAGUUAAACUAGAUGGUAAGUGACAACGUCUCUCCCUCUUAUGUGAACACGAACUAUAAAAUUUAAAUUAUAUACGAAAAACCGGCAAAAGUAAUUUUUACAGGCAAUUUUAUCAAAACAAUUAAUUUGUAUAAUCCAAUUCCGCUACACUCCUCCCCACUUAGAUCAAAUUAUCUGUUAUAAAAUUAAAGAUAAUUUUA